RNAcentral lists this ribosomal RNA (253 nucleotides) under uncultured bacterium. RNAcentral's name for it is "partial 16S ribosomal RNA". It matches the Rfam family "Bacterial small subunit ribosomal RNA", at positions 524 to 776 of the family's 1533-position model. The record is from RNAcentral.
GACGAACCGAGCAAACGUUAUUCGGAAUCACUGGGCUUAAAGGGCGCGUAGGCGGGUCAGCAAGUCAGGGGUGAAAGCCCCCAGCUCAACUGGGGAAGUGCCUUUGAUACUGUUGAUCCCGAGGGAGGUAGGGGCGUGCGGAACUUCCGGUGGAGCGGUGAAAUGCGUAGAUAUCGGAAGGAACACCGGUGGCGAAAGCGGCGCGCUGGACCUCUUCUGACGCUGAGGCGCGAAAGCCAGGGGAGCAAACGGG